AAAACAAACAGACAUAUUAGGUUAAAAUGUCAAAAUAUGGGAACAGCAGUCAACAUUGUGUAAUAAUCUCAAUCACUAAAAAAAGAAGAAACAAAUAUGGCACAAAGACCAAGUAUAUUAGCAAAAAAAUAAAGACAAGAAUACACAAAUUUACUAUAGUACAAUGACAUAAUGACGGGAUUUUAAAGUACAGAGCCACGUCAUAUAUGUAUAUAUGUAUCAAAGAAUCAUAAAAAAGGAUAAAGACAAAGCACAUAGCAAAAAUGAAUGAGAAGCAAACAAACAUGUUUUACAAUAGCGCAAUAACAAAGCAUCGUUAUAUGUAUUGAAGUAACACC
This 338-nucleotide long non-coding RNA is filed under the name Mytilus galloprovincialis (Mediterranean mussel). Lineage: Eukaryota; Metazoa; Mollusca; Bivalvia; Mytilida; Mytilidae. The record is from RNAcentral.